AAAGGGGUGCCCGGAAGUGGCUGAGAUUAUACCCUGUGAACCUGAUGCGGUUAGUACCGCCGAAGGGAUUGUU
This 73-nucleotide non-coding RNA is filed under the name human gut metagenome. RNAcentral's name for it is "TPP riboswitch (THI element)". It matches the Rfam family "TPP riboswitch aptamer (THI element)", at positions 9 to 90 of the family's 105-position model. Rfam says of the family: Vitamin B(1) in its active form thiamin pyrophosphate (TPP) is an essential coenzyme that is synthesised by coupling of pyrimidine and thiazole moieties in bacteria. The record is from RNAcentral.